This 243-nucleotide non-coding RNA is filed under the name Limosilactobacillus mucosae. The record is from RNAcentral. Lineage: Bacteria; Bacillati; Bacillota; Bacilli; Lactobacillales; Lactobacillaceae.
AUAAAAGCGUUGAAGAGGAGAGUAGGCCGCUUUAUUAGUGUUUCAGCGACUGCCGUCAGUGAAAGGGCAGCACGAACCAGCAGCUGAAGAUGAGCUCAGAGCAAGGUAUUUGGUCAGUUUGGCUGAAUUCCCGGCAGGAUCCGUUACCAUCCCAGACAUCAAUUGGUGUUGUUGAGGCCGCUUUGGGCAAUCCAGCGGUAAAAUCGGGUGGUACCACGUCGGAUCAGCUGCGUCGUCCUGAAU